Gopherus evgoodei (Goodes thornscrub tortoise) is the source of this 1744-nucleotide long non-coding RNA. RefSeq lists it as uncharacterized. The record is from RefSeq and is a predicted model, not a curated record. The transcript is spliced from 6 exons. Lineage: Eukaryota; Metazoa; Chordata; Testudines; Testudinidae.
GGGGCCGUGCAACUCCUGCCCCGGUUCACUGCUGUUCAGCGCAGGAGGCUGUUAAGGCAGAACUAGUCCUCGGGCCUGAGCUGCUGGCAGGAUGUCUGCACGGUCCCCUGAUCCGGACCGAGUGCCAUCAGCCCCCUGCGGGUGAACGCAUAGGAAGUCACCAGCACGCCCAAUGGUAGCGAACGAUUAAAAUAUCUUGUCUGCCCUCCAGUGCCCAUAGCUCUGCUCCCCACAAAGGCCACGGGAGCGGCGGAGGGCAGACUUUGGCAGAGGUGAAAGUAAGACGGUACCGAGGACAGACUGCUACCAGCUUGCAUAAACUGCUUCCUUAUGUUCUCAGGAUGUUGCUUCCUUGAACAACUUGAGUAAAGAUGGUGGUAUUGAAGAGACAUCAAGACAUCCCAACGGUACUGAUGGAACGUUAUCCUCAUAAAUACUGCAUUCCUUUCUUGGCCACCCCAGCUCAAAAAGUGCACAGUAGAAUUGGAAAAAGCCCAAAAAAGGACAACAAAGGUGAUAGAAGCUUCCAGAUAAGGGGAGAUUUUAAAAGAUAAGGACUAUUUACUUUAGAGAGAAGAUAAAUAAGUAAUGCCAUAAUAGAGGUAGAACUGACCACAGUUCUUCCCAGUAUGCUUCCACAGUGUGGCCAACUGUCAUGACCUGUCCUUUCCUGGACACACACCUUAUUCAACCCUGGUGUUUCUGAGUCACUAGAACAGCCUUUUGACCCCUCCAAUCUCCUGCUCAGGACCACCUGCCUGUAAAUAUCAAGCGAGCCUGGCUACUUUUCCAAACUCUGUUUCAAAACUUCUGCAGAUCUCUUCAAAACCCACCAACUGACGACGCCUCUAAACUCCUGGAUUUGAGAAAACACUACACUUUUAUUUAACCCAAAGCUUGAUUUCAGCUAGCAAAAUAACUGAGUGUUUGAAUGCAACCGUGACAGCCUGGGCAUAUAAAGAACUAGAAAACUCAUCACAAAAUCACACACUAAGUACGUGGGACGUCAAUUUGCCUGGAGCCAGGAGAAGGAUGACUGUGCAUUCAGAAGAUUUCUUUUCAUCUAUGAUCAGAAUAAAUUAAUACUAAUAAAAACAGAACACAGAUCCCCUUUUGACAUCAUUUUAUACUGUUUAAAAGACAAACAUUUGCAUACUGCAAGCCACAAAUGGAUAAAAGCUCCGGUGAGAAUUUAUAAUCCAUCUGUUAGUUUCCUAAAGAGACCACUAACUAUGAUUGUUUACAGGUGAACAGUGGGGGUCAUGGGUAUUUGCUAUAAUGAAAGAGUCAAUUCAUCACUGUAGAAGCCAACUCCACCUCCCUUUUUUUUGUUGUUUCAGAAGGCUAAUGUAAAAUACAAUAAAAAAGGAAAUUUCAAAAAAACUUCAGAUACACAGAGAAAUAUCUCUUGCCAAACUAAAUAUAACAUGCAACACUGUUCUGUUUUCUAACAGUCUCUGCUGUCAAAUUCUGAUUACACAAAUAAAAUCACAGAAAGUUACUCUUUAGAAUUUAACUAAUAGCUAAUGACCAAGAAUUACUUUGCCCCUAGCCAUUUAAUCUUUGGAAACCUCUUUGUGUUAUUUGUAUGUCUGAAUUUAAUUAUGAGGUGUUAACUGCCACUGUAACUGUUGCUCUAUUUCUAUUCGAUAUAGGUUCCUAUACCAUACUCAGACACCAAUCUGAGUAUCUUCCAGUAGUGUAUUAAGCACUAUUAACUACAUUUCUGUCACAUGUUGCUUGU